UUGGCUGGGGCGGCACAUCUGCUAAACAUCAACGCAGAUGCUGGAGGUAACUCAGAGAGAACAGAAAUCUCUUGUAGACCGAAAGUUCGCAUUAUUCGGAUUUGUAAGAAUUGCGAAAGCAUGGCCUAUCGAUCCUUUAAGCCCAGAAAGAUUAGUACUGCUCCGCUCUUCUGGUAGUCGCCUGGUGGGAG
Molecule: non-coding RNA, 191 nt
Filed under: Gregarina niphandrodes
Lineage: Eukaryota; Apicomplexa; Conoidasida; Eugregarinorida; Gregarinidae
Description: Eukaryotic large subunit ribosomal RNA
Rfam family: Eukaryotic large subunit ribosomal RNA
Source: Rfam by way of RNAcentral